UACAGAGGGUGCGAGCGUUGUCCGGAAUCAUUGGGCGUAAAGAGCGUGUAGGCGGCUCGGUAAGUCCGCUGUGAAAGUCCAGGGCUCAACCCUGGAAUGCCGGUGGAAACUGUCGAGCUCGAGUCCGGAAGAGGCGAGUGGAAUUCCUGGUGUAGCGGUGAAAUGCGCAGAUAUCAGGAGGAACACCAAUGGCGAAGGCAGCUCGCUGGGACGGUACUGACGCUGAGACACGAAAGCCAGGGGAGCGAACGGG
This 253-nucleotide ribosomal RNA is filed under the name uncultured bacterium. RNAcentral's name for it is "partial 16S ribosomal RNA". It matches the Rfam family "Bacterial small subunit ribosomal RNA", at positions 524 to 776 of the family's 1533-position model. The record is from RNAcentral.